GCUGGUAACGGGAGGAGCCAACUUUAGAUCCAGGUUUUGUGGAAUCUGAAAGUUUUGUUUUAUAGGAUUGGGAACCUCUUUCACAAGUAGAAUACACAUUUACAAAUGUGAAAUACAGGUACAGGACCUUGGAAGAGGCUGUAAGUGAAGGGCCCUGAAUCUUCGCGUCACUAACUCUACUGUGAAUAUAUCUCUGGAUGGAGUCAGAAUUUGAAUACAGGCCACCUGGUUCUAGACCCUGAGCUUUUAGUGAUUCCACUAUCUCCUGGGAGAGGAUGAAUUCACGUGCACCGAAUGUCUCAAAGGCAGGCGUCUGUGAGCCUGCGCUAGUUAAGGAAAGGAUGAUUUCAAGGCAGCUGGGGGUGACAACAGUGUGAUGAUGUCAAUUCAAAUUGCAAG
Long non-coding RNA from Bos taurus (domestic cattle), 399 nucleotides. The record is from Ensembl. NCBI's taxonomy places the organism in Eukaryota, Metazoa, Chordata, Mammalia, Artiodactyla, Bovidae.